UCGGGUGUGACUGCGUACCUUUUGUAUAAUGGGUCAGCGACUUAUAUUCUGUAGCAAGGUUAACCGUAUAGGGGAGCCGGAGGGAAACCGAGUCUUAAUUGGGCGUUAAGUUGCAGGGUAUAGACCCGAAACCCGGUGAUCUAGCCAUGGGCAGGUUGAAGGUUGGGUAACACUAACUGGAGGACCGAACCGACUAAUGUUGAAAAAUUAGCGGAUGACCUGUGGCUGGGGGUGAAAGGCCAAUCAAACCGGGAGAUAGCUGGUUCUCCCCGAAAGCUAUUUAGGUAGCGCCUCGUGAAUUCAUCUCCGGGGGUAGAGCACUGUUUCGGCUAGGGGGCCAUCCCGGCUUACCAACCCGAUGCAAACUGCGAAUACCGGAGAAUGUUAUCACGGGAGACACACGGCGGGUGCUAACGUCCGUCGUGAAGAGGGAAACAACCCAGACCGCCAGCUAAGGUCCCAAAGUCAUGGUUAAGUGGGAAACGAUGUGGGAAGGCCCAGACAGCCAGGAUGUUGGCUUAGAAGCAGCCAUCAUUUAAAGAAAGCGUAAUAGCUCACUGGUCGAGUCGGCCUGCGCGGAAGAUGUAACGGGGCUAAACCAU
Molecule: ribosomal RNA, 602 nt
Filed under: Salmonella enterica subsp. enterica serovar Braenderup
Lineage: Bacteria; Pseudomonadati; Pseudomonadota; Gammaproteobacteria; Enterobacterales; Enterobacteriaceae
Description: partial 23S ribosomal RNA
Rfam family: Bacterial large subunit ribosomal RNA
Source: RNAcentral